RNAcentral lists this ribosomal RNA (426 nucleotides) under Triticum aestivum (bread wheat). RNAcentral describes it as "partial small subunit ribosomal RNA". The record is from RNAcentral. Lineage: Eukaryota; Viridiplantae; Streptophyta; Magnoliopsida; Poales; Poaceae.
UUUCCCUAAGAAUCAGGGGGCAUGGGGUUUAGAGAUUUUCACUCUUUUCAUUUGGCCAUGUUGGCAAAGUAGGUGUGGCGGUUGAUAGUCAAUCCCGAGUCUCUUUGUGUUAGGAUCUUGAAGGCAAAGGAUUACCCAAACCAAGAUAUCCUUGAAGCUGGCCCCAAGAAGGGUUCGUCUUUCACAUGGCAAAGUAAAGUUGCGGGUAUUCAAACUUUUAAAAGAGGUUACAUCUGGCGUGUGGGAAGUGGCGAGUCCAUGAACAUCAGGAGAGACCCGUGGAUUCCAACCAACCCGAAUAGGAGGAUUAUCUCUAAGAGGGGGGCUGUCCUGAUUGAUAGGAUGUUAGACCUAAUCGAUCCAGGGACGGGUCAAUUGGAUGAGAAAUUGAUUCGGGACAUUUUUUUUGUGGUAGAUACUGCAUGA